Molecule: long non-coding RNA, 354 nt
Filed under: Homo sapiens (human)
Lineage: Eukaryota; Metazoa; Chordata; Mammalia; Primates; Hominidae
Description: non-protein coding lnc-ANKRD20A8P-9:1
Source: RNAcentral
AUGGACUGGACCUGGAAGUGGGGUCUCAUUCACUCCUCUGUCCUCUCCACAGGUGCCCAGUCCCAGGUCCAGCAAGUGCAGUCUGGGGCUGAGGUGAGGAAACCUGGGGCCUUAGUGAAGGUCUACCCAAGGCUUCCAGCUACACCUUCACCUUCCACUACAUGCACUGGGUGCCACAGGCCCCUGGAAAAGGGCUUGAGUGGAUGGGACAUGUUGAUCCUGAAGAUGGUGAAACAAUAUAUGCACAGAAGUUCCAGGGCAGAGUCACCAUGACCGCAGGCAUGUCUACAGACACAGCCUAUGUGGAGCUGAGCAGCGUGAGAUCUGAGGACACGGCCAUAUAUUACAGUGCAA